CGGGCAGCGACGACACCUCCUGCAGUCCUUAUCAAUAGACGGUUCAAGUGCUCUUUUGCUUUGUCCUGCACUGGUUUCCUGUGUUGCAUACCCAUCGCGAUGGCAUUCGUUCGGUUCAAAAGAUUUCUCCGUCCAGCACGCGUUGCAUUCCGUUGGGGAUGCAUCGUGGGGGGGACCGUAAAGCGAACAACGAGUCCCACUUUCCUUUCGCCUAUGGUGCUUGGUUUGAUGGAGCUCGUUGUCUUGCUCGAUCUCUCGGGUGUGGUAUAUAUUGUGGGUACGAGGCCUCUGUUCUCUACUUUACCCUAUAAUAAAAGAGCGUCCCACGCUUCACGCAAACGACAGUCGCUGCUGUAUUGCCUCGUGUCCUUGCGGCUCGAGUCAUGCGGCUUUGCCGUCGGUGAGGAAUGC
RNAcentral lists this unclassified non-coding RNA (411 nucleotides) under Ourisia serpyllifolia. RNAcentral's name for it is "partial external transcribed spacer". Lineage: Eukaryota; Viridiplantae; Streptophyta; Magnoliopsida; Lamiales; Plantaginaceae. The record is from RNAcentral.